This 279-nucleotide ribosomal RNA is filed under the name uncultured bacterium. RNAcentral describes it as "partial 16S ribosomal RNA". It matches the Rfam family "Bacterial small subunit ribosomal RNA", at positions 76 to 353 of the family's 1533-position model. The record is from RNAcentral.
CUUGCUAAGUUUGAUGGCGACCGGCGCACGGGUGAGUAACACGUAUCCAACCUGCCGAUGACUCGGGGAUAGCCUUUCGAAAGAAAGAUUAAUACCCGAUGGCAUAGUUCUUCCGCAUGGUGGAACUAUUAAAGAAUUUCGGUCAUCGAUGGGGAUGCGUUCCAUUAGGUUGUUGGCGGGGUAACGGCCCACCAAGCCUUCGAUGGAUAGGGGUUCUGAGAGGAAGGUCCCCCACAUUGGAACUGGGACACGGUCCAAACUCCUACGGGAGGCAGCAUG